GACGAACGCUGGCGGCGGGCCUAAUACAUGCAAGUCGAACGCGUGGCGGACGGGUGAGUAACACGUGGGUAACUAUCCAUCAGAGGGGGAUAACUAUUGGAAACGAUAGCUAAUACCGCAUACUAGUAGAUGGACCUGCGUUGUAUUGGCCAGUAGGUAGGGUAAUGGCCUACCUAGGCGACGUUACAUAGCCGACCUGAGAGGGUGAUCGGCCACACUGGGACGUAGGCACGGCGCCGACCACGUCGGGAGGCAGCAGUAGGGAAGCUUCGGGUAGUGGGGGAAACCGGACCGAGCAAGUCGGCGUGAGUGAAGAAGGUUGUCGGAUCGGAAAGCUCUGUUGUUAAGGGAGCGGUACCUAACCAGAAAGGGACGGCUAACUCCGUGCCAGCAGCCGCGGUAAUAC
This 406-nucleotide ribosomal RNA is filed under the name uncultured bacterium. RNAcentral's name for it is "partial 16S ribosomal RNA". It matches the Rfam family "Bacterial small subunit ribosomal RNA", at positions 28 to 526 of the family's 1533-position model. The record is from RNAcentral.